Molecule: small nuclear RNA, 107 nt
Filed under: Sus scrofa (pig)
Lineage: Eukaryota; Metazoa; Chordata; Mammalia; Artiodactyla; Suidae
Also listed under: 1 other name
Source: RNAcentral
AUGCUCGCUUUGGCAGCACAUAUACUAAAAUUGGAACAAUACAGGGAAGAUUAGCAUGGUCCCUGCUCAAGGAUGACAUGCAAAUUCGUGAAGCAUUUCAUAUUUUU